AAGUCGUAACAAGGUUUCCGUAGGUGAACCUGCGGAAGGAUCAUUAUUGAAUAAAAACUUGAGCAGGCUGUUGCUGGUCCUCUUCUGGGCAUGUGCACGCUUGUUCUUUGUUAUUUUCUCCAUCUUGUGCACAUUUUGUAGACCCUGUGGAUUCAUUCCGAGUUGGGACUGCUGUGCUUCCCUUCAUGUGAAGUCGGCUUUCCCUAGGUCUAUGCUCAUUUAAAUCACAAAUACUGUUCAGAAUGUUGGGAUCAGGUCUUUUUUGUACCUAUAAAAAUGAAAUAUACAACUUUCAGCAACGGAUCUCUUGGCUCUC
Molecule: unclassified non-coding RNA, 316 nt
Filed under: air metagenome
Description: partial contains small subunit ribosomal RNA, internal transcribed spacer 1, and 5.8S ribosomal RNA
Rfam family: Eukaryotic small subunit ribosomal RNA (bases 1-46)
Source: RNAcentral